Long non-coding RNA from Entelurus aequoreus (snake pipefish), 617 nucleotides. RefSeq lists it as uncharacterized. The transcript is spliced from 5 exons. The record is from RefSeq and is a predicted model, not a curated record. Lineage: Eukaryota; Metazoa; Chordata; Actinopteri; Syngnathiformes; Syngnathidae.
UGAUGACGUCGCGUCGUGACGUCAUAUUUCAAAAUGGCAGAGCCCGCGGAAAGACCCCCUGGAGUCGACUCCAUUUCCCAAGAAAAGAUGUCAACAGCGCGACUUGUAACAAUUAUAAGGCCGAGGAGGGUUAUUUGAACACACACCAUUCAAUUAUUAUAAAUGAAAGUCACGUUUUGUAACCGCUCUGGUCUCGUCCCAGCGGAAGUGACGCUAGCACGUCAUCAGAAUACAACAGAUCAACACGACGAGAGAGACAUUCUGCCGCUAGACGAAGGUCACCGAGCAGCGACGAAGUUUGCAUUUUCGGUAGAGGUCCAGGGAGCCACGAGGGCGGUGCUAAAGAGACGCGGGUUGCUGACCCCCGGCCUACACCCUAGACUGGCCGCCAGUUCAUCACAGGACACAUGAACAAGCCUUCGCCCUCAAAUCAGAGAAAAACAACAACACCAGAAAUGUGUCCCGUGAAAAACCGUCCGACCAGAACUCUAAUAACUAAAGUUCCUUGGGUGAAUAAUGAAAUGGCAACAGCAGAGGAUGGAUGUCCCAUAACAAGAAGGUGGAGAAAAAGAAGAAGCUUAUCGACUACGGUGUCUGCACGGACUACAAAGGCGGAC